RNAcentral lists this small RNA (29 nucleotides) under Vibrio cholerae O1 biovar El Tor str. N16961. Lineage: Bacteria; Pseudomonadati; Pseudomonadota; Gammaproteobacteria; Vibrionales; Vibrionaceae. The record is from RNAcentral.
GUUGAACUCGGUUACUGGUCACGCAUAAA